GACGAACGCUGGCGGCGUGCCUAAUACAUGCAAGUAGAACGCACAGUUUAUACCGUAGCUUGCUACACCAUAAACUGUGAGUUGCGAACGGGUGAGUAACGCGUAGGUAACCUGCCUGGUAGCGGGGGAUAACUAUUGGAAACGAUAGCUAAUACCGCAUAAUAUUGAUUAUUGCAUGAUAAUUGAUUGAAAGAUGCUAUUGCAUCACUACCAGAUGGACCUGCGUUGUAUUAGCUAGUAGGGGAGGUAACGGCUCACCUAGGCGACGAUACAUAGCCGACCUGAGCGGGUGAUCGGCCACCCUGGGACUGAGACACGGCCCAGACUCCUACGGGAGGCAGCAGUAGGGAAUCUUCGGCAAGGGACGAAAGUCUGACCGAGCAACGCCGCGUGAGUGAAGAAGGUUUUCGGAUCGUAAAGCUCUGUUGUAAGAGAAGAACGGGUGUGAGAGUGGAAAGUUCACACUGUGACGGUAUCUUACCAGAAAGGGACGGCUAACUACGUG
This 505-nucleotide ribosomal RNA is filed under the name uncultured bacterium. RNAcentral describes it as "partial 16S ribosomal RNA". It matches the Rfam family "Bacterial small subunit ribosomal RNA", at positions 28 to 507 of the family's 1533-position model. The record is from RNAcentral.